GCUGGCGGCGUGCUUAACACAUGCAAGUCGAACGGUAAGGCCCUUCGGGGUACACGAGUGGCGAACGGGUGAGUAACACGUGGGUAAUCUGCCCUGCACAUCGGGAUAAGCCUGGGAAACUGGGUCUAAUACCGAAUAGGACCACGGGAUGCAUGUCCUGUGGUGGAAAGCUUUUGCGGUGUGGGAUGGGCCCGCGGCCUAUCAGCUUGUUGGUGGGGUGAUGGCCCACCAAGGCGACGACGGGUAGCCGGCCUGAGAGGGUGUCCGGCCACACUGGGACUGAGAUACGGCCCAGACUCCUACGGGAGGCAGCAGUGGGGAAUAUUGCACAAUGGGCGAAAGCCUGAUGCAGCGACGCCGCGUGGGGGAUGACGGCCUUCGGGUUGUAAACCUCUUUCACCAUCGACGAAGGUCCGGGUUUUCUCGGAUUGACGGUAGGUGGAGAAGAAGCACCGGCCAACUACGUGCCAGCAGCCGCGGUAAUAC
This 486-nucleotide ribosomal RNA is filed under the name Mycobacterium sp. FI-06294. Its description in RNAcentral is "bacterial SSU rRNA". It matches the Rfam family "Bacterial small subunit ribosomal RNA", at positions 35 to 526 of the family's 1533-position model. The record is from RNAcentral. Lineage: Bacteria; Bacillati; Actinomycetota; Actinomycetes; Mycobacteriales; Mycobacteriaceae.